AGAGUUUGAUCCUGGCUCAGGAUGAACGCUGGCGGCGUGCUUAACACAUGCAAGUCGAACGAUCCUUCGGGAUAGUGGCGGACGGGUGAGUAACGCGUGGGAAUCUGCCCUCAGGAGGGGGAUAACGGCUGGAAACGGCCGCUAAUACCCCAUAUGCCGAGAGGUGAAAUGAAUUUCGCCUGAGGAUGAGCCCGCGUCUGAUUAGCUAGUUGGUGGAGUAAAGGCCUACCAAGGCGACGAUCAGUAGCUGGUCUGAGAGGAUGAUCAGCCACACUGGGACUGAGACACGGCCCAGACUCCUACGGGAGGCAGCAGUGGGGAAUUUUCCGCAAUGGGCGAAAGCCUGACGGAGCAACGCCGCGUGAGGGAUGAAGGCCUCUGGGCUGUAAACCUCUUUUCUCAAGGAAGAAGAACUGACGGUACUUGAGGAAUAAGCCACGGCUAAUUCCGUGCCAGCAGCCGCGGUAAUACGGGAGUGGCAAGCGUUAUCCGGAAUUAUUGGGCGUAAAGCGUCCGCAGGCGGCCUUGUAAGUCUGUUGUUAAAGCGUGGAGCUCAACUCCAUUUAAGCAAUGGAAACUACAAGGCUGGAGUGUGGUAGGGGCAGAGGGAAUUCCCGGUGUAGCGGUGAAAUGCGUAGAUAUCGGGAAGAACACCAGUGGCGAAGGCGCUCUGCUGGGCCAUAACUGACGCUCAUGGACGAAAGCCAGGGGAGCGAAAGGGAUUAGAUACCCCUGUAGUCCUGGCCGUAAACGAUGAACACUAGGUGUCGGGGGAAUCGACCCCCUCGGUGUCGUAGCCAACGCGUUAAGUGUUCCGCCUGGGGAGUACGCACGCAAGUGUGAAACUCAAAGGAAUUGACGGGGGCCCGCACAAGCGGUGGAGUAUGUGGUUUAAUUCGAUGCAACGCGAAGAACCUUACCAGGGUUUGACAUCCUGCGAAUCCCUUGGAAACGAGGGAGUGCCUUCGGGAGCGCAGUGACAGGUGGUGCAUGGCUGUCGUCAGCCCGUGUCGUGAGAUGUUGGGUUAAGUCCCGCAACGAGCGCAACCCACGUCUUUAGUUGCCAGCAUUCAGUUGGGCACUCUAGAGAGACCGCCGGUGAUAAACCGGAGGAAGGUGUGGAUGACGUCAAGUCAUCAUGCCCCUUACAUCCUGGGCUACACACGUACUACAAUGCUACGGACAAAGGGCAGCAAGCUCGCGAGAGUUAGCAAAUCCCAUAAACCGUGGCUCAGUUCAGAUCGUAGGCUGCAACUCGCCUACGUGAAGGAGGAAUCGCUAGUAAUCGCAGGUCAGCAUACUGCGGUGAAUACGUUCCCGGGCCUUGUACACACCGCCCGUCACACCAUGGAAGUUGGCCAUGCCCGAAGUCGUUACUCCAACCCUUGUA
This 1390-nucleotide ribosomal RNA is filed under the name metagenome. RNAcentral describes it as "bacterial SSU rRNA". It matches the Rfam family "Bacterial small subunit ribosomal RNA". The record is from RNAcentral.